RNAcentral lists this transfer RNA (75 nucleotides) under Candidatus Omnitrophota bacterium. RNAcentral's name for it is "tRNA-Pro". It matches the Rfam family "tRNA". Rfam says of the family: Transfer RNA (tRNA) molecules are approximately 80 nucleotides in length. Their secondary structure includes four short double-helical elements and three loops (D, anti-codon, and T loops). Further hydrogen bonds mediate the characteristic L-shaped molecular structure. tRNAs have two regions of fundamental functional importance: the anti-codon, which is responsible for specific mRNA codon recognition, and the 3' end, to which the tRNAs corresponding amino acid is attached (by aminoacyl-tRNA synthetases). tRNAs cope with the degeneracy of the genetic code in two manners: having more than one tRNA (with a specific anti-codon) for a particular amino acid; and 'wobble' base-pairing, i.e. permitting non-standard base-pairing at the 3rd anti-codon position. RNAcentral also lists the same sequence under 1 other name. The record is from RNAcentral. Lineage: Bacteria; Pseudomonadati; Candidatus Omnitrophota.
CGGGGCGUGGCUCAGCUUGGCUAGAGCGCCUGCUUUGGGAGCAGGAGGUCACAGGUUCAAAUCCUGUCGCCCCGA